Molecule: ribosomal RNA, 446 nt
Filed under: uncultured bacterium
Lineage: Bacteria
Description: partial 16S ribosomal RNA
Rfam family: Bacterial small subunit ribosomal RNA
Source: RNAcentral
CCUACGGGUGGCAGCAGUCGAGAAUCAUUCACAAUGGGGGAAACCCUGAUGGUGCGACGCCGCGUGGGGGAAUGAAGGUCUUCGGAUUGUAAACCCCUGUCAUGUGGGAGCGAAUUAAAAAGAUAGUACCACAAGAGGAAGAGACGGCUAACUCUGUGCCAGCAGCCGCGGUAAUACAGAGGUCUCAAGCGUUGUUCGGAAUCACUGGGCGUAAAGUGUGCGUAGGCUGUUUCGUAAGUCGUGUGUGAAAGGCGCGGGCUCAACCCGCGGACGGCACAUGAUACUGCGAGACUAGAGUAAUGGAGGGGGAACCGGAAUUCUCGGUGUAGCAGUGAAAUGCGUAGAUAUCGAGAGGAACACUCGUGGCGAAGGCGGGUUCCUGGACAUUAACUGACGCUGAGGCACGAAGGCCAGGGGAGCGAAAGGGAUUAGAUACCCGGGUAGUC